GUGUCAGCCGCCGCGGUAAUACGUAGGGUGCGAGCGUUGUCCGGAAUUAUUGGGCGUAAAGAGCUCGUAGGCGGUUUGUUGCGUCGGCCGUGAAAACUAGCAGCUUAACUGUUGGCUUGCGGUCGAUACGGGCAGACUUGAGUUCGGUAGGGGAGACUGGAAUUCCUGGUGUAGCGGUGAAAUGCGCAGAUAUCAGGAGGAACACCGGUGGCGAAGGCGGGUCUCUGGGCCGAUACUGACGCUGAGGAGCGAAAGCGUGGGGAGCGAACAGGAUUAGAUACCCCCGUAGUCC
RNAcentral lists this ribosomal RNA (292 nucleotides) under uncultured bacterium. RNAcentral's name for it is "partial 16S ribosomal RNA". It matches the Rfam family "Bacterial small subunit ribosomal RNA", at positions 505 to 796 of the family's 1533-position model. The record is from RNAcentral.